CACGUAGGGUGCGAGCGUUGUCCGGAAUUAUUGGGCGUAAAGAGCUCGUAGGCGGGCGGCCGCGUCCGGGGUGAAAUCCCACGGCUCAACCGUGGAACGGCCUCGGAUACGGGCGGCCUCGAGGGGGGUAGGGGCAUCUGGAACUGUGAGUGGAGCGGUGAAAUGCGUUGAUAUUCACAGGAACUCCGGUGGCGAAGGCGAGGUGCUGGACCCCAUCUGACGCCGAGGCGCGAAAGCCAGGGGAGCAAACGGG
RNAcentral lists this ribosomal RNA (253 nucleotides) under uncultured bacterium. RNAcentral's name for it is "partial 16S ribosomal RNA". It matches the Rfam family "Bacterial small subunit ribosomal RNA", at positions 524 to 776 of the family's 1533-position model. The record is from RNAcentral.